GAUGAAGAACGCAGCGAAAUGCGAUACGUAAUGUGAAUUGCAGAAUUCAGUGAAUCAUCGAGUCUUUGAACGCACAUUGCGCCCCCUGGUAUUCCGGGGGGCAUGCCUGUCCGAGCGUCAUUGCUGCACUCAAGCACGGCUUGUGUGUUGGGCCCCGUCCUCCGAUUCCGGGGGACGGGCCCGAAAGGCAGCGGCGGCACCGCGUCCGGUCCUCGAGCGUAUGGGGCUUUGUCACCCGCUCUGUAGGCCCGGCCGGCGCUUGCCGAUCAACCCAAAUUUUUAUCCAGGUUGACCUCGGAUCAGGUAGGGAUACCCGCUGAACUUAAGCAUAUCAAUAAGCGGAGGA
This 346-nucleotide unclassified non-coding RNA is filed under the name soil metagenome. Its description in RNAcentral is "partial contains 5.8S ribosomal RNA, internal transcribed spacer 2, and large subunit ribosomal RNA". The stretch from base 1 to 120 matches the Rfam family "5.8S ribosomal RNA", at positions 35 to 154 of the family's 154-position model. The record is from RNAcentral.